GAUGAACGCUGGCGGCGUGCCUAAUACAUGCAAGUCGAGCGAACAGACGAGGAGCUUGCUCCUCUGACGUUAGCGGCGGACGGGUGAGUAACACGUGGAUAACCUACCUAUAAGACUGGGAUAACUUCGGGAAACCGGAGCUAAUACCGGAUAAUAUAUUGAACCGCAUGGUUCAAUAGUGAAAGACGGUUUUGCUGUCACUUAUAGAUGGAUCCGCGCCGCAUUAGCUAGUUGGUAAGGUAACGGCUUACCAAGGCAACGAUGCGUAGCCGACCUGAGAGGGUGAUCGGCCACCCUGGAACUGAGACACGGUCCAGACUCCUACGGGAGGCAGCCGUAGGGAAUCUUCCGCAAUGGGCGAAAGCCUGACGGAGCAACGCCGCGUGAGUGAUGAAGGUCUUCGGAUCGUAAAACUCUGUUAUUAGUGAAGAACAAAUGUGUAAGUAACUAUGCACGUCUUGACGGUACCUAAUCAGAAAGCCACGGCUAACUACGUG
Molecule: ribosomal RNA, 497 nt
Filed under: uncultured bacterium
Lineage: Bacteria
Description: partial 16S ribosomal RNA
Rfam family: Bacterial small subunit ribosomal RNA
Source: RNAcentral